ACGGGGUGGAGCAGGCGCGAAAACUCCGCAAUGCGCGAAAGCGUGACGGGGGGAUUCUGAGUGCUUCGGUUUCACCGAGGCUUUUCGUGAGGGUAAAUACCUCGCGGAAUAAGUGGUGGGCAAGACCGGUGCCAGCCGCCGCGGUAACCCCGGCGCCACAAGUGGGAACCACGUUUAUUGGGUCUAGAGCAUCCGUAGCCGGCUUGUUAAAUGCCCUGUGAAAUCGUUCCGCCUAACGGGACGGCGUGCAGGGUAGACUGGCAAGCUUGGAACCAGGAAAGGCAGGCGGUAUUCUGUGGGGAGCGGUAAAAUGCUAUAAUCCACAGAGGACCACCGAUGGCGAAGGCAGCCUGCUUGAAUGGAUUCGACGGUGAGGGAUGAAAGCCAGGGGAGCGAUCCGGAUUAGAUACCCGAGUAGUCCUGGCCGUAAACGCUGCGCGCAAGAUGUUGCAUAAUCUUCGCGAUUGUGCAGUGUCGCAACGAAGGUGUUAAGCACGCCACCUGGGAAUUACGGUCGCAAGGCUGAAACUUAAAGGAAUUGGCGGGGGAGCAC
This 553-nucleotide ribosomal RNA is filed under the name uncultured archaeon. RNAcentral's name for it is "bacterial SSU rRNA". It matches the Rfam family "Archaeal small subunit ribosomal RNA", at positions 325 to 879 of the family's 1478-position model. The record is from RNAcentral.